GAUGAACGCUGGCGGCGUGCCUAAUACAUGCAAGUCGAGCGAACAGAUGAGGAGCUUGCUCCUCUGACGUUAGCGGCGGACGGGUGAGUAACACGUGGAUAACCUACCUAUAAGACUGGGAUAACUUCGGGAAACCGGAGCUAAUACCGGAUAAUAUAUUGAACCGCAUGGUUCAAUAGUGAAAGACGGUUUUGCUGUCACUUAUAGAUGGAUCCGCGCCGCAUUAGCUAGUUGGUAAGGUAGCGGCUUACCAAGGCAACGAUGCGUAGCCGACCUGAGAGGGCGAUCGGCCACACUGGAACUGAGACACGGUCCAGACUCCUACGGGAGGCAGCAGUAGGGAAUCUUCCGCAAUGGGCGAAAGCCUGACGGAGCAACGCCGCGUGAGUGAUGAAGGUCUUCGGAUCGUAAAACUCUGUUAUUAGGGAAGAACAAAUGUGUAAGUAACUAUGCACGUCUUGACGGUACCUAAUCAGAAAGCCACGGCUAACUACGUG
RNAcentral lists this ribosomal RNA (497 nucleotides) under uncultured bacterium. Its description in RNAcentral is "partial 16S ribosomal RNA". It matches the Rfam family "Bacterial small subunit ribosomal RNA", at positions 28 to 507 of the family's 1533-position model. The record is from RNAcentral.